This 406-nucleotide ribosomal RNA is filed under the name uncultured bacterium. RNAcentral's name for it is "partial 16S ribosomal RNA". It matches the Rfam family "Bacterial small subunit ribosomal RNA", at positions 28 to 526 of the family's 1533-position model. The record is from RNAcentral.
GAUUAACGCUGGCGGCGUGCAUAACACAUGCAAGUCGAACGAAGUGGCGGACGGGUGAGUAACGCGUGAGUAACCUGCCUUAGAGAAGGGGAUAGCCUUUGGAAACGAAGAAUAAUACCCUAUGCUCUAAGAUGGACUUGCGUCUGAUUAGUUAGGUGGUGGGGUAACGGCCCACCAAGACCGCGAUCAGUAGCCGGCUUGAGAGAGUGUACGGCCACAUUGGGACUGAGACACGGCCCAGACUCUAAGGGAGGCAGCAGUGGGGAAUUUUGCACAAUGGGGGAAACCCUGAGGCAGCGACGCCGCGUGAUUUAGAAGGCCUUCGGGUUGUAAACCGCUUUCAGCCAUGACGCGGUAGUGGCAGAAGAAGCACCGGCUAACUACGUGCCAGCAGCCGCGGUAAUAC